UAAAUAAAGUAAAAAAAAAAAGUUAUGUAUCUUUUCAGAACCAAUGACAGUGCUCCUGGAUAGCAAUGUUUCUUUCAGCUGAAAUUCAACAUCAGGAGUCAAUAUGCCUUGUUGUCUUUGAAAGGACACAUGAUUAAUGAGAGACCCAAUUAUGCUGACGUAGGUGGACACGUAUGCAAUAUACGAACAAUCACAACAAAGACCAAUGGGCACAACAGAAAAAAACAAACAACAUGCUUGGAACAGGCUUGGAAAAGAACACAGGAUUUGAAGUCAGAAGAUCCAUGCUCAGGCUUCAUUCUGCCAAUUCCAAGAUGUGUGACCAGAGGCCAGCACUUAACUCCCCCAAGCCUGUUUCCAAAUGUGAAAACUUGUCAUGGAAAACUCAUUGUCUGACUAUACCAGAGUGAGGACAUUCUGUAGAUGCUACUUACUACGUAAUGCGUGGAAGAUACAAGACAAUUAUCGGUGUAAGGUGCUGUGCAAAAAUAGUUGAAUUAAAGCACACAGCUCAGCAGCCUUUCCCCACAGACCUGCAGACAGAGAUCCCAUCCUCUCCGCUAGGGUCCAAACAAGAAAUGUAUGCUUGUUUUCAACUCGUCUCUCUAAAUCCCCACAGGAAGCCCCACCAUUAUACCCUCUCAAUUCCACUCCUAUGUGGUUCCUCCUAUUAUGACACCCACUUUCCUGCCCGGGGUGUGAUCAUCAACGUCUGCAACCUGGACCCUCGCAGCGCAUAUCCUUCUGAUCCAGCCCUCCCCAAGAUGGAAUGCGUGCAGACAUCGCUUGGGGUCUGGUUAAAAUGCAGGUUCUCAUUCACCGGCAGUGCAGGGUAUAUCCCGAGAGGGGCCAGCGCUGUUGGUCCAUGGACCAUAUGUACAGGAGGAGGGCUCCAGUCAGUCUCCUUGAAUCCAGCCUUGUACAUGCCUACCACCCAGUCUCCACACUGACCCCAGAGAAAUCUUUUCAAGGCAUAAAUACGAUUAUGUCACUGCCAUGCUUAAAAAGUCUGAGUAGGCAGAUUCAACGUCAGGAUUCUCAACACUGGCUGCAGAUUUCAAUCACCUGGAAAGUUUUAAAAAAGCCCAGAGCUCAGGCCCCAGUACAGACCAACUAAAUAAAGCUAUUCAGAGGUACCAGGCAAAGGUAUUUUUAAAAUAGCUCCCCAGGUGGGUCUAACCAUGGCUCCAAGGAUUCUUCCAACACAAAAACUUCCAACUUACCCCAUCAUUUAACCAUCAUGAUAAGCCCAGAUAGAUUCCUUAUUCCCAGGUAAAGAAGCCGUGGCCCCAGUGGGUUAAGUGCCUUGAAGUUGGGCCCUAAGUGCUCCAUCAUAUGACGAGGUAGAAGGAAAGGAGAAAGCGUGACCUGCAGGAGUCCCAGUUCCAUCAUCGCAUGAAUAUAUUUGCAAUUGCUUUCAGCAUCUCUUCUAAUUAUUCCCCAAGCCACCGUGGCCUUUGAUGAAUUGUGGAAGAGAUUGCUUGGCAUUUUCAACCCAAUGCUCUGAUGCUUGAACACGGCAGUGGAUGGAAAGUGACAGCAUGUUAGCAGUCACUGCAUUCCCUCUGCUGUCAUAGCUCACUCCCCUCUGCCCACAGCGUGGGCUGGGCUUCCCAUCUCACAGAGCGGGGAAAAAUGCUUCCAAAAGUUGAUGCGACAUCUCAAAAUGUCAGACUGCCAGUUGCCACUGUCAGCUUCUAUGGCCCAUGGUAUCUAUCAGAUGGAAACAAUUAAGUCCCCAGAGCAUGGGAUCUCCCUCGGAGCUCAGGUGGACAGCAAAAAAAAUGCAUAUGAGUGAGGAGUGUUGUAGCAUGUAUACUGGGCUGGCACCUGGCAUCAGGACCUCACUUCCCAUGCAUGUGAUCUGUUUAAUACUAAAUGCAGUUCCAAGAAUUCUGCACUGGGUCCUCACUUUACAGAUGAGAAAACCGAAGGCUCAGAGCAAUGAUGUGGUUUGCCCAAGGACACACAGAUGGGAGAGGCAGGGCCAGAAUCAGCCUGCAGUCUGAUGCCAAACCUGCAGUUUCUGGUACCCAGAACAGUGUGCGGCACAGAGAAGAUGCAUAAUCAACACGUGAUGAAUGAAUGAGUGAAUGAGUGACUCAAUGAGUGAAUGAAUGUCUCAUGACAUGCUGCCUUGAAGACAGCCUCCACCAGUCAUUAGUUACAGCACCUUGGGUAGGUAACUUCACCUUGCCUAGCAAGGAUGAAAUACGUGUUUUUAUCAUCGGUGUUGGAAUGGGGGAUAAAAUGGGUUUAAAUUGCUGAUCCUGAGAUCAGGGUAAAGGGAAAUAUCCAGGUUCCAGGGGACAGUGGUCCAAGAGCUCUUCUCUUCUCUGGGCCUCCUGUUCCUUAUCUAUAGAAUAGGAGCGUUGGAUGAGACGGACAUUGAAAUCCUCUGUUUUACAGAUAUCCUAGGAUCCAGUAAAUCUAGUAAUGCUUGUUGAUGUGCAAACAGUAACGGCCUUGAAGGCUUUCUCCCCGUGGCCCUAGUGCACCUUCAUCAGAGAGCCUUUGCUUGCACAAGGCCUGGAUAAAGCAGAAGGAGUUGAGUUGGUGUCUGGCUCCCUCCGUAGCCCUCUGGGCAUCAUCUGCUUCCUGCUCUGGGCAUUAUUUCCCUUCUCUCAUGGUUAAGUUCUCCUUUGCCAGGCCCCCAGCCUGGCAGUUAAGGCCCCAAACUUUCCUUUCAGCAUCAUGUCCCACUGUUCCCCUUCCUGGCCCAGCCCAGGCCACCUGCUCCCCACGUGGUCCUGCAUGUUCCCAUCUCACUGCCUCUGCUUGGACUGCGCCCUCAACCUGGAGUGCUCUGCCCGCUGGUCAAACACCUCCCCUCCACUGAGCUCCCCAAAUCCUCCUUGUUCCUGUAGCACUCUGUCCCACGUUAGACAUCAUUCAUUCAUUCACUUAUACAUUGACUCUCAGUGAGUCUCUUGAGCGCUUGGUCUGUGCCAGCCACUAUGCUAUACACUUUUCCCCUGUCAUCUCAUUUAAUCCUUUCAACACUAUGAACCUGGUAUCGUAAAUAUCUGCAUUUCACAGAUGAGCAAACAGAGGCACAGGGAAACCAAAGUCACCCAGCUCAUGUGUAGCAGAAUCUGUGGAUCAUGUGGUCUCACCACGGAUCCCAAGUUAGCCCCCUUGUCUAGCACCUCUUCUGCCGGAUCCUGGGCUGCCUCAGAACAGGCACUGUCAUUCAGGCACCCAACAUUCAUUCAGCAAGUAUCCACUGAGCACCUCCUGUGUGCCAGACCCCAUGAUGGUCACGGCAGUUCUGAUGGGCUCCAUAUGGCCUCCCGCUCCUGUGGGGUGCCUGGCCCCGGGCUUGGCUUCCUAAAGGAUGCUCUGAGGUUUCUUGCUGAAUGGCAUGGCUGGUAACACUAUGUGAGAAGUAGAGUUCAAAGCUGAUGAUGGCUGCAGAUAUGAGGGUGAUGCACAAGGGCUGUGCUGCCCAUCUGUGGGCUCUGCAGACACUGGAAAGAGGAAGCUGAUGGGGGCAGAUGGGUGUUCAGAGACAGGGAGGCAUGGUCUCAUUGACAGGGCGGGGAAAACCAAGGUGAGGAUGCAGGAAGACGAGCCUCACUGCUCCAGAUUGGCCCAGCGUGGCUCCCUGAGGCCUGAAUCCAGACUGCAAAUCCCGCCUGCCACAGAAGUGGGUUUGAGACUGUGCACAUGGCUGGCCCGAGUCAGCCGCCUGUCACCUCCUCUUAGAGCCCAGCCCUGUUCACAGAGUGAAGACCUGGGAGGCAGACGGUGGAGAGGCGGACAUGGAACCAGGCUCCCUUCACCAAGCCUGGUUUCGUUUGUGCAUCAGAGAAAGGAGUUACUGCCUGGCUGUUGUAUCUUGCAGGCAGGAAGGCCACAUGCUGUUACUGAUGGGUAAGCAGAGCACCGAGAGGACCCCAAGCAAGGAAGGACGGGCCCGCUGUGCUUAAGGAAAGCUUCCCAGAGAAGGAGUCUCUGGACUUUGGCUUAAGAGAGUCAAGCAUUCUGAAAGCCUCCCCAAGACAGACUCUGAGAGGAGUGUGGGUCUCCUCGAAUCCCUGCGGCUCCAUCAGGAUGCAAAGGGAGACCCAGGAGAUUGCGCAGCUCUUUGGGAUGAAAAAGAGAAACGGAGAGAGACCGACAGACAAAGAGACAGAGGAAGGCAGAGAGACUGAUCGACUUAAUUGCACCUUGGAAUUGUUGUAAGAGAGCACAGGACCUGGAACUAAAGUGGGGUGGGGAAACUAAGGCUCACAGAGAUCAAGUGUCCGUAGGCUGCACAGCUGGUAGGCUGCAGCUGACACCAGAUUCCUAGACCCCUGGCUCUUGGUGCCAUGAUGCAUGUCCUCCAGCUCCCUCUCCUUUCAAGGACCCCAGGACAGAGUGUGAUGCCACCAAAGGGAAGUGGCCCUCAGGGAGCAAACUCCAAUAAACUACCUUCGGAAAGUGCAUGCUGGCGACUGGGAGAGAGGCCACCACACCUCAGGAGGACAUGCUGACACUGAGCUUCCUCUGGCAGUGACAGAACCAGCCAGACACUCCUGAGAGAGGAAGUUGAUCUCAUCUAAUUAAAGAUUCCCUUCUGAGGACUGGCUUCCUGUUUCAGGCCAAGCCUGCAAUUUCAGAAACUUGACCCUUUCUUGAUACAUGCAACUCUUUCCAUUAUCCUUCAUAAUCCUAGCUGAGGUGUGCCACGUACAAACACUAAGGUGUGCAGGGUGGAAGAAGAACAUGGGAACUCGAGUCUCAGACUUGAGAUCAAAUCUGCUACUUCCUAGCUGUGUGACUGCAGGCAAGUUAUUUAACCUUCCUGAGCCUCAGUUUCCUUACCUCUACCAUGAAGAUAAUAAGUCUACCUAUUUCAGAUAUUGCUACAGAUUGAAUUGUGUCAUCCACCCUGCACCCUGUACCCUGCCACAAAUUCAUAUGUUGAAGCCCUAACCUCUAAUGUGGUGGUAUUUGGAGUUGAGGCCUUUGGGAGGUAAUUACGAUUAAAUGAGGUCAUGUGGGUGGGGCCCUCGUGAUGGGAUUCGUGCCCUUAUAAGAAGAAACACCAGAGAUAUCUCUCUUUUAUUCUCUCUCUUUAUCUCUCUCUCUCUCUCUCCCUCCCUACGCCAUGUGAGCACACAGUGAGAAGGAGGCUGUCUGCAAGCCAAGAAAAGAGCCUGCAACAGAACUUGAUUUUGCUGCCAUCUAAUCUCAGAAUUCCAGCCUCCAGAACUAUGAGAAAAUAAAUAU
Long non-coding RNA from Orcinus orca (killer whale), 5220 nucleotides. RefSeq lists it as uncharacterized. The record is from RefSeq and is a predicted model, not a curated record. Lineage: Eukaryota; Metazoa; Chordata; Mammalia; Artiodactyla; Delphinidae. The transcript is spliced from 5 exons.